UAGCGAGACUCAAACUCGGAAGCCACGAGCCUCACCACCUUCCCCGCCAAAACGCUGCGUUUCAGACCGACCGCUGUAUCCAGCAGCAGCGUCUGCUUCUUCACCAGAUGUGGCUAUCUUCUCAGUCAAGAAUCAAGAACUCGGAAAACCUUAGACACAUGAAGCAUAAUGCUCUAGUAGCCAACGCCGCUUUGAUGCGUCAGCACGCCGGAACUCCCCUGAAACGUCCGUCUACCGGCACCGGAGUUUUCCUUCCCCGGCGAUACCCAGCAACAACCCCUUCCGAGCCCAUCAAGAAGCCAGCACCAGUAGUCAACACAGCGGCUAUGUUGCAGUCAAAAGUCAACUUUGAUGAGUUUAUCAAUGUUAAGUCAAGACAGAGUCAGUUCGAUUACGGUAAUGAUUCAAACUAGAAACUAUUUUAAGUGUAAGAACACAGUACUUGUGACUUAAUCUAACUUUUUUUAUUAUUUAUUUUAAUUUGAGCAGAGUGCAUGUUAGCAAGAAGUAGACUACUUGCUCGUCAGGGAAACUACAGAGCAGCUGGUUGUCUGAAUCAAGAGAGACGUCUUCCUCAGGACUGGAUGUACUGAAACGGUUUGUUUUGUCUCGGAAGGAGCGUUAGUUAGAAGCGGUUUGGUUUUAGGUUAUAAACUGUGAUUGUUAUGAUAUGGUUAUUAACUAGUAAUAAGGAUUUGGAAAUCCAAAUAAAAGUAGGAGAUAUUUUACAAGUGUGUUACAUUAGUAUAAUAUUAUUGUUAGUCACUUAGACAAUAGCUCUCUGUAAUUUUUAUUUUUUGGACCUUGGGAGGGUUCAAGGGAGUUGAGUGGAGUGUGGUACUAUUUUUUUUUUCACUUUAGUCGACAUGUUAAGUUUCAAAAUGUGUUGGGUUGGGUGGGGGAUUUUGUUAUUUGCUGUAUUAAUUUCACAGUUUUUCUAAUGGGGUUGUAAUAAAAACAUCGCAAUUAUUUUGUUUAUUUUUAAAAUUAUGAAUUGAACUUGUUAAUUUCUUACCUUUACUUCCCAUUUUUAUAAGUACUUUGAUUUUUGUACUUCCAGACCAGAGUUUCGGAUUUAAAGUAGUUGUUUAAAAUUUCAAAAGAAAGAAAGAAACCGUAGUUUUCACCCUAUUUUCUCUCAAGUUUCCUCUCCGCCUCCCUCUUCAAGCUUUCAAUGGUUUUUCUUUUGAUCGGUGUGUGGCGGCUCCUUCAGUGCCGGCGCCGGUCAAAAUCUCUUCUACCGCCUUCUGUUUGCUUUGUCGUUCAUCCGUGUGUGACUUUUUUUUGUUUUGGGAGAAGAUUCGCCUUUGCCAAAUCGUCUUUAGCUUUCAGAUUUAUGAUGGAUUUCUGUUUCAAAGUUCUGGAUCUGUGGAUUGACGUGUGGCUUAGCUACAAAGAUUUUUUACUCGAAUCUCGUUCUAGAUCUGUUUGUCCUGUUGUUGUUGCGGAUCUCCUUUUUUUUUGGAUUGGACUCUUUUUGCAGGUGUUAGACUGUCCUCUUGGAGUUUGUUUUGGCUUCCAUCUAGUCUACAUUUAUGCCGUUCAUGGCAUGUUCUUGUGUUUUGGAUUAGGUGGACCUCGCCCCUAGUUGUUUGUUCAGAUCUCGCGGAGAUCUGUUGUUGUUGCCGCUUCAUACCUAGGCUUUCUACUGUCGUCGUAGAUCAAGCCACUUCUAAGAGUGUUAGUAAGAAUCUUUAUUUGCCGGUUUAUGAAAGUUUGGUUGUUGGGUCCUUGAGGUGUUUCCUCAGAGUUCUAGGAGGAGGUGGUCUACAGUGGUUUAGUCGAGGGUAUUCCCACUAAGCAGCUGCCACAUAAGCUCUAUCAUAUAGUCUCUCUGUAUUUUUGUUAGUCUUGUUCUAGUGAUUUGGAAAGUUAGUUAUUUGUUUUAAGUUUGCAAUAUCGUUGGUUCUUGUAUGCUGCCCCGUUGUGGGUUCUAGUGUCCGGGGAUAUCUUUGUUUUUCUCCGGUUUAGCUGACCACGGAAAGAUCUGUUAUUUGUUGGUGUUGUGUUGAAUUUAUCUUUGUUUUUAAUAAAAUCCGUUGAAGGAAAAAAAAAAAAAAAAAAAAAAAAAAAAAAAAAAAAACCGACCGACCGCUGUAUCCAGCAGCAGCGUCUGCUUCUUCACCAGAUGUGGCUAUCUUCUCAGUCAAGAAUCAAGAACUCGGAAAACCUUAGACACAUGAAGCAUAAUGCUCUAGUAGCCAACGCCGCUUUGAUGCGUCAGCACGCCGGAACUCCCCUGAAACGUCCGUCUACCGGCACCGGAGUUUUCCUUCCCCGGCGAUACCCAGCAACAACCCCUUCCGAGCCCAUCAAGAAG
This 2320-nucleotide long non-coding RNA is filed under the name Brassica napus (rape). Its description in RNAcentral is "long non-coding RNA (BNAP_LNC016596)". The record is from RNAcentral. Lineage: Eukaryota; Viridiplantae; Streptophyta; Magnoliopsida; Brassicales; Brassicaceae.